RNAcentral lists this ribosomal RNA (253 nucleotides) under uncultured bacterium. RNAcentral's name for it is "partial 16S ribosomal RNA". It matches the Rfam family "Bacterial small subunit ribosomal RNA", at positions 524 to 776 of the family's 1533-position model. The record is from RNAcentral.
UACGUAGGGUGCAAGCGUUGUCCGGAAUUAUUGGGCGUAAAGAGCUCGUAGGCGGUUUGUUGCGUCGGCUGUGAAAUCCCGAGGCUCAACCUCGGGUCUGCAGUCGAUACGAGCAAACUAGAGUGUUGCAGGGGAGACUGGAAUUCCUGGUGUAGCGGUGAAAUGCGCAGAUAUCACCUGGAACUCCGGUGGCGAAGGCGGCACGCUGGACCUUUUCUGACGCUGAGGCGCGAAAGCCAGGGGAGCAAACGGG